GGCUGCUGCACGCCUGCUUUCUCAAAGAUGCUUGUGGAGUAAUAGAAGACCUACCAGACAGAGAAGUCGUUAGGGCUCAGGUGGGCACUGUGGCUGUGUAGGACACAGGGUGCCCACCUGGCAGGUAAAGGAGAAGGCUCCGGACAAGGAAGCAGUUCCAGGAACUAGAGACACCUGUUCCCGCCCCUGCCCCAGGGAGGGCUGACCAGCCCGGUUCCCAGGGGAGCCAGACAUGCAGUGGGUAGGAACCUGGGCUCUGAAUCCAGAUGCAACAGAACUCAGCUCUACCACUCAUUUCCAGUGUGACAGUGGGCAAGUUAUGUUACCUCCAAGUUCAACAGCCUCAACUCUAAAAUGGCAGCAUUUGCAUGUAGUACGUAAGUACCACUUCACAGGGUUGCAGGGACUUGAGGAAACAUAUUUAAAGUGCUUAUCCAGUGGCUGGCACAUAGUUAGCACUCCAUAAGUAAAUAAACAGAAGUCAUCACUGAAUCAGGGGAUCCCUAAAAUUACCUUCUGGUACAGACCCCGGGAAAAUCUAACCAAGUUCCCACCCCAUAAUUUGAAAUCAAGCCUCCCGCCAGAUAUUAGCCCAGCCUCGUCACCUACCACCAGCUCCUACUCCCAACACAUCAGCGGCACCUUGGCUCCACAUCCCACUUUCCCACCCCUCCAUGCUUUUGUAGAUGCCACUACUCCUGCCUGGAGGGCACCCCGCUUUACUGUGCAGAAACGUUUUGAGAUCCAGCUCAAAGGUUCCCUCCUCUGAGAGGCUUUCCUUGACUCCCAGAACUUUGUCCUCCCUGAAAGCAAGGACCCCAAGUGGAUUCAAACCAAGGCCUGUCUCAGAGCGGGACCAGAGACUCCUGGUCAGGGAAUGGAGGAAUCAGGGAGUGAAGGGUCUUGAGCUCUCCUCCUAGAAGCUCUGUUUUUGCCGGGGGCAGAGAGAAAGCAGACUUUAACAAAACAGUGCUUGUGUUCUUCAAGAGAUAAAACUGGCCCCAGUGGAGGAUGGGCUGGGGACAGUGAUGGCCCAUUUAUAGGCUAUGCGGAGAACAAGCUGUUCUGGAUAAGGGAACUGUCCAGAUAAAUGACACUCACCCCUCAGAGACCCAAACUUUUCUGGCCAUUAACUGAGUGGAAACCUUUCUCCCUUCUGGCACUCUCACUUUGCUGCCCUGAGCAGCAAGUCCCUGGGGCUCACUAAGAGACAAGGAGAGGUGUGGUUCAGUACCUAUGCUGACUGGUCCCAGGUGGCUUUUGUUUCUUGCAUUCUUGCAUUCCAUAGUUCUCAGGGUCUUCCCCAUCCCUCUGUGGUUCAGGUGCUUAUCUCAUACAUGCUCCACAAACCUUUUUAAAACUUGCCAAGAAACCGGCUAAAGGAACUUGUUUGGAUUGUGAGCAAAGUAAGAGUUAGUAAGUGCUAAGUAAGAGCUUAAAGAUUCUAUCUACUACCUAAGUGAGCUUAAGGGUGUGACACGGGGCAGGGGGGAUGGAGGUUAGGGGGUGUGUUCUGUUACAGCAGCUCAGGUAUUUAGCGGUCUUCUUUGGACUUGGCUUGAGAUACUGAGGCAGUUGGUAUGUGUGGUGUCAUCACAGGCCCGCUCCAGGUAAGUCUCGUGCCUGUGGUAACACAAGUCAGAGGAACCAAAUCUUGUCCAAGGCUAGGCCCUGACUGUUGCUGUUAAGUGCUGUCGAGUCAGAACGAAAAACUGCCUGGUCCUGCACCAUUCUCAAAACCGUGGCUACGAUUGAGCCUUGUUGCAGCCACUGUGUCAAUCCAUCCUGUUGAGGGUCUUCCUCUUUUUCACUGACCCUGUACUUUAUCAGGCAUGAUGCCCUUCUCCAGGGACUGAUCCCUCCUGAUAACACGUCCAUAGUAUGUGAGACAAAGUCUCACUUCUAAGGAGCAUUCUGGCUGUACUCGGACCAUUUUCUGGGGUUGAGGAAGGCUGGGCAGCCAGCCCCCUUCAUGCUACCUUGGCCCCAGACUCAUUCUCCAUCCUCACUCAACAGAUAAGGCUGGGCAGUGAGGUCCUGCCUCCUGAUCUGGGGCCUGGGAUUUUCAGGAAGAAGCCAUGCCUGGUUUUCUAUUCCUGUUGCUGGUGUGGGAGCUCCAUGUCCUUUCCUUCCUGGGGGGGUCCAUGCCCUAUGUGGGGCUCCAGGCUGAGUCUUGGCUCAGGAAAGGCGGGGGGUAGGGGCUGGCUGGGAGAAUGAGAAGAGACCUACAUGGGAAUAAGUUUUCGGGUCUUCCAUCUAACUAGUCUCUGCCCUCAAGCAGAAGUAGCUGGGGUGUCCCUAGGAAAGAAGCCUACCAACAGGAUCCCACAGACAAAGAAUCCACAAAGUACGGCAGCCUCUCCAGCCCUGGCUCAGGUUUGUGAUGGCUGGCACAUGCCUGCUUCUGAACCCUGCUCCUUCUGUGGUCAUCACAGCCUGGGAGCUACCCUCAAUUCUGCCAUUGCCCCACAUUCGGUCAAUUGCCAGGUUCUAUCCAUUCUGCCUCCUAAAUUGUCUCACUUCUUUCUCUACCACACAGCACCUGCCCUAGGUCUCAGCUGUAUCCUCCUCCUGACUCCUCCCAUCCACCCAAGCCAGGUUCCACUUCCCACCAGGAAUUCCUCCUCAAUAUGGUGGUCAGAGCCCCACGCACAAAAUGCAUCAGGUUCAGCCCAUUCAUCUGCUUCCUGCUCCCUUCCCAGCCUACACACCUUUUUGCCCCCACAAGAGGUCUCUGUGAGUACACGAAUGCUGGGGACAAAUGGAAAGGGCUUGGUCAGUUUGAGGGGGCACUGUCGUGUGGCGGCCUGUCUACAGUUGAGAGGCUAUUAGAGAUCUCUGUCCAGCCCCCUCACUGAACCUGGAGGGCAAAGAGGCCCAGAGGGGCCACUGAGCAGCAUUGACAGGGUCAACUUCAAGAAAACAGGCUGGCUCUGGGGAGCUGAGAUCCAUUGGACUGGCUGGUUUCCAAUAAAAAGCUAUUCCUUACCCCCAGCAGUUCUCUUGGGGGUAAAGGGGGAAGCUUCUCAGGAAUUCCCCCUAACAAAAAAAAAAUUUUUUUUUUUCUGCCCAGGCAGCUGUGUGUGAAGGAUCACACGUCUGCCUGCCUGGGAGGCAGCACUCACUUCCUCUGUGCUCAGGCGGUGUCUACAGCAAGGCCCUGCCCUGGGCCUGGGCAGGUGGCAGAGCACACUGCCUGGCACACGGCAAGAGGUAAAUAAGCCAUGACUGCUGUCACAGUGUUUCUUGCGACCGACCUUCGGGAAGAGCAUUAGGGACAGGGUUUUCCAUUUUAAAUUGCCUGAGGACAAAGCACUCCCCUAAGGAAUUUAUGGUGCAAGAGAGAAUCUGAAGGAGCUAGGGACCUGCCACAGGGGAGCCCACAGAGGGACCAACCAGUCUGUGGAGCCCUAGAGGGUAUAGACCUCGAGGGACAGAUCUCAGCUCAGUGGAAAGAAGAGCUUUCCAGGCCCCAGGGAAUGAGACUGCCUACCACGGAGGUAGUGAGUUCCCUGUUAGUGGGGACUGUGUAAGUCAAAGUGAUGUAGAGUAGGGAUUGGCAAAUGUUUUAGGCCAGAUAAACAUUCUUAGCUCAUGGGCUGUAAAAAAAACAGGCUGCUGGCCAGAUCUGGCCCUCCUGCCUAGACUCUCACCAAGAGGCCCACCUGGUAGAAGGGGUGCAUGUUCUGUAGUCUCUGGCUGGUCUUACCAUCCUUCCCUAUGGGAUCCUGUAAACAUUCCUCUACCCCAAGAUGCCUGAGACUCCCAGAUCAUCCCUUGCAGGGAUCUCCUAUUCUAGGCCUCCCUCCUCUCUCCUGGAUGUUACUGUGGGGAUGAAGGGGUUAAACAGCCAGCCAAACUGUGAGCUCCAGGAAGAAGAAAAGGGCCAGCUUGUCCAGUUCAGUCCCUCAGCUUGGCCUUGACCCCUGUUCUGUCUCCCCUUCCCCCAGCUGCCAGCCCAGAGCUAGGUCUCCAUAGCAACUCUCAGCCACACCCAGGGCCUGCUGGGAGUUCAGGGCCAGAUGCUCCAGGUGGGGCUGGACAGACAGCCUUGCCUGCUGGGUCCCCUGGGGCCUCUCCCUGGUGCCUAAGGGAGAGGCUCAGGCAGCCUGAUGAAGCUAGGAGCUGGCCCCCAAGCCCGUAGCAAAGAAUCAGGCCACCCAGGCCGCUUCUCUGGAAGAGCUUUGAACACAGCUUCUCUCCAAACCAAGGCCUGGCCAUUGCUCCUGCUUUAACUGGCCUCCUCACUGGUCCCUGCCUCCGGGGUGCCCCUGCGGCCAGAGGGAGCUUCAUCUCACCAUGGCCGCCCCUGCUCAAAGCCUUUCUUGGCUCCCCACUGUCCUCACCAUGUGUCUCCUCUCCACCCACUCCAUGACUCACACAGCCUUCCUGCUACCUGGACACCCCACACCUCUGGACUUCCUGUGUGCCUUCUCCCUGGCGAGCUGUUAGUCACCUUUCAAACAACGCACACUCUUCCAGAAAGUCUUCCUUAUAAACCACUGCUUCCCCUCUACUGCAGUGUUCUCAGCUGGGAGAGGUGCCCCCAGAAGACUUCUGGCAAUGUCUGGAGACAUUUUGGGUUGUUACACUGGCAGAGUGCUUCUGGAAGCUAGCAGGUAGAGGCCAGGGAGGCAUGCUACUAAACAUCCUACAAUGCACAGGACAGCGCUUCACCACCAAAGAAUUAUCUGGCCGAAAACAUCAGCAGUCCUGAGGUUGAGAAGCCCUGCUCCAUGGGCCAGUACCUUCUCCCUCCUCCCCCCUUCUCUGCUCACACCGUGCCCACCCAGUUUCUGCCACUGCCCCCAUACAGCUAACGACAGUGUUCGGUGCUCCUCAGGUCUGAUUCAUCUGUGUCCCUGGUGCCCAGCACAGGGCUGGGGGUAGAGAGAGUCUCCACUAACUAAUAAACCAGCCAUGAAUAUAACUAAGGGACUUAAGAGAUGAUAUGGCUAUGACUGGGUAUAAUGGUGUAAGAGGUUGUGCAACUGUGUAUGGGAAACUGUUGAGAUGCCUGUGCAUGACUGAGCUUGACUCAGCAUAGAAGUCAGAGCAUGAGGGGCUAGCAGUGUGGCAGCUGCAGGUUUGUGAAAGGCUGGCUAUGGCAUAACCACCAUUCUUUUCACUGAGGCAUGGACUGGAGUCAGAAUCCCUGGAUUUGAAUUCCAGCUCUGUCACUCACUAGCUGUGUGUCUUUGGUUUAAUUCUUUUUUUUUUUUUUAAUAAUUUUUAUUGCGCUUUAAGUGAAAGUUUACAAAUCAAGUCAGUCUCUCACACAAAAACCCAUAUACACCUUGCUACACACUCCCAAUUACUCUCCCCCUAAUGAGACAGCCUGCUCUCUCCCUCCACUCUCUUUUUGUGUCCAUUUCGCCAGCUUCUAACCCCCUCCACCCUCUCAUCUCCUCUCCUCCUUUAAUUCUUAACAUCUCUGUACCCGUUUCUUAUAAAACAGGGAUUAUAGUGCCUACCUAAUGGAGUUAUUGUGAGGAACAAUGAAUUACUAUUUCUAAAGGGUUUAGAACAAUGCCUGGCACACAGUAAGCAAGCUAUAAGGGUUUGUGGGGGAAGGACCCCAGAUUCUUUGUAUCUAGGCAGAGGUAAGAACGGGCUGCUGGAGCCCCAGGCAGGGGAAGCAGGUCUUAUUUCCAGCAGCGAUUCAGCGAUUCAACUUGGGUAGACCUCACCCCCUCUUGAGACCAGGUUCCUCCUUUGUCAAACAAGGAAGGCUGAGCCAAUGAGCCAUCAGGCCCCUUUCAGCCCACUGUCUGGGUUCUGAGUAUGCCUCAUUCUCAGACAUGCCUGACAUUGUCCCUUGGCCAGGAGUUCAUGAUUUCUCAAUGGCCUUUAGUCAUCUCUGUUGACAACUUAGCCCAUUUGGGGUGGGGCUGGGUUUAAGGCAUUUCUCAGAUCACCCCAGGAUGGUGGUCAGGAUGCCCUGUCUAUUUACCCCGUCUGUGGCUGGGCUUAUCCCCACCUCCUCUCACUUCCCCAGUGAGACUCCUGGCAGGAUAUGUCAUCAUUACUCACACACUACGGGGUCGGGGAACGAGCAUGGGACAGGGAGCCAUGAAGCCUGGAGUCCACCUCUAGCUCCGCCGAUCACUCUCCAAGUGAUCCUCACCUGACCUCAGUUUCCCCACUUGUAGGACGAGGAAGAUGAUCCCAGCUCUGCCUGCCUUGCAGGGCUGCUUCAAGAUAAUUUAUGGGGAGGUGCUUUGUAAACAUUUAAGAUAAUGUUAUCAUUAAUUAACCACUUCCAGGAGGAAGCCCUUUGGGGCUUGUUUUAUUGAAGAGACCAAGCUUCUGUAAUUAACAGUAUUAUCUGCAUCCUAACCAUUAGUGGGGCAAAGUCUCUUCUCUAGAGUAGGCAAACCAUGGCCAACCCACAGUUUCCUAAGUUCUUCCGAGCAGAUAUGGGAAGUGAGUGUGUUCGGUGCAGGCUCCUUCUCUUCAGGGCAGGCUCGCCCUUCAAGGUCUAGCGAGGCUGCCAAAUCCUCCGAAGUCUUUUCCAUCUCUCCCAUCACCCUACCCCAGCAGGUGUGGUGGUUCCUUCCUCUUUGCUCCAUAGCAUUUUGGAAUCUUUCAUGAAUAUACUCCAGCUUUUUCCAAGUUGUCUCCCCAGGCUGCUCUGACUUUUGAGGGCACGGACAGGGUCCAGCUCACCUUUGCCUCCCAAGCCCAGCACAGAACCAGGCACAGACCAAGUACUAUGCAAGCUCCAUGAGAGUCAGGAUUUGCCCGUUCUGUUCACACCUAUAUCGUUCCCAAGGAGCCUUGGUGAUGCAAUGGUUAAGCGCUCCGCUGCUAACCAAAAGGCUGGCAGUUCAAACCCACCAGUGGCUCCAUAGAAGAAAAGACCUGGCGAUUUGCUCCUGAAAAGAUUACAGCCUAGGAAACCUUAUGUGGCAGAUCUACCCAGUCCUAUAAGGUCACUAUGAAUCAGACUCGAUUCACCAGGCACACACUGCAACAACACAUCGCUCCCCACUAUCCAGGACAAUACGUAGGACAGAGCAGAUGCUCAGUAAGUCUUAGUUGAAUGAAAGUGCUGGCAGCAUUGAAUCACUGUGCCAGCCGAGGACAAUGUCUUCAGCACCUACUGAGGCAUGUUAUCCGCCUUGCCCUGCUGGUGCACAUUGGCUCUGAGCUGCACUUUCAUUUCUUACCACUGUGUCCUCCCAUUCCCUCUUCCCAUUUUUUAGUUUAUCGCUUCUAAUCUGCUCCUGACUGGAAAAAUGACAGCCAGGCCUGUGAGAAGUGUUCGUAAAGUGCUAAAAUAAACAGACUGAGUGCCUGAGUGCUUGCCCCGGAAACGCUGCUAGAUCCAGGGUAUGUACUUGUGCCCUACCAAUUCUGGUCACUAUUCAGCUUUGGUCUUCAGUGGCGGUGUCUGAAGUGACCUUUAGACAGGUGCCCCCAGUGCUCUUGCUGUUUACAACCUCAGCUGGGCGCUCCGUGCUGCCCGCCCACCGGUCUCUCUUUAAGAACCUGGUCUGCCCAUUUUCACAUCAGCUCUAACCUUUUACCUAUUUCUGAUAACAUGGGAGGCCACAGAACUGAAGAACUUCAUUCUAGAUUUGUCCACAUCCUCAAUCUUAAAGUAUCUUAGUCCCUCCUGGUUAAAUGCAACCCCUUCUUCCCCUCUUCCUGCCUCGUUGAGAAUCAUCUCCCCUCACUUCCUUAUCUCCACCUUCUCCUCCUCUGCUGAUUCCUUACGUGUUUAAAAAUAAAGUCUUAUAUUUUUAAAAAACCGUGACAUAUAACCCCUUCAGCUACCACCACCUCCUUCUUCCUUGCCCCACAAGUCUCUUGGUGGGCUGUCUCUACUCUUUCUCAUCUCCCUCUCACUCUUCAACCCAUUGCAAUUAGGUUUCCACCCACACGGCCCCACUUCUGGCCUUUGCCACCACCAAGGUCACCGUCCGUCCUUCGCGUUUAGCAACAUGGCGGUGAUUUGUCCAGCUCAACCUCUUCAUUCAUCAACCCGUGAUUUACUGAGUGCCUAUUACUACGGACAGGCACUGAUCUAGGUACCAAGUACUACUGAGUUGACUCCAACUCAUGGAGAGCCCAUGUGUGUCAGAGCAGAACUGUGCUUCGUAGGGUUUUCAAUAGCUGAUUUUUCAGAAGUAGAUCAUGAGGCCUUUCUUCUGAGCUGUCUCUGGGUGAACUCAAACCACCUACCUUUCAGUUAACAGCCAAGCACAUUAACCAUCUGCACCACUCAGGGAUUCCCACCAAUGAUUAAAGUAGUGAACAAACUAGACAAAAGCCCUUCCUCACACGCCCAUUCUGAUUGGGCCAGGCCAUGUCGUUGGUUGAGCCUUUUGUAGAUCAAAUGUACUCACAAGGCCCUUCAUGGUGGGGCUCUGGCUUACCUGGCUGACUUCCCCAACCUUCCUUCUCUUCCCAUGACCCUAGUGACACACCAAACUACUCACUUUUUACCAAAUGCUAGGCUUUCUCUCCUCUGGGCAUUUCAUUCCUGGCUUUGUGGCACCUCCAUCUCCCUUCCCCGGGAUUGUGUCUCUGAAAAACACCUUCUCCAUCCUGACCAUAAAUCCUGGCUUAGAGUCCUAGUUCUGUCCUUAACUCACUAUGUGGUCACUGUCAAAAUAUCACUUAAUCCGGUAGUUCUCAACCUUGGCUGCAUGUUAGGAUCACUUGGGGAACUUUUAAAAAUUCAGUGCCCAAACAGCACCCCAGACCAAUUAAAUCAGAAUGUGGGGUGUCCAGAGAAUCCCAACACAUAGUCGAGGUGGAGAACUCAUCCUCCCUCGAAUUCUGUAAGAGUUCUUGAAGGAAGCCAGCUCUGAGAGCUGGCAAGAGCUGUUCAGAGCACUUAGCAAAAGCAGGCUUGGGAUUAUUCCAGCCAUGGGCCCGUAGUCGCCAUUUCAGGCGAGUUUGGAAAAGUCCUGUCACCUCUGCUGCAGCUGAGCAUGACUCAGCAGGCCAGGCCUUCCUGGUGACCUGCUCCCCAGCACCAGGCGUGGCCCCCACAGCCACCCUCCGCCUAUUUGGAGGAGGUCCAGCUCUGCUCUGACACUGCCCAGCUCCCCUGGACAGACGCCUGAUCCUCGGGAGCCAGCCACACUCACUUUCCAGCCUUAACUGUCUGGACAACGUAUGUGGUCUGGACAGGAGGACUUCCACUCUCAUUCCAUCCUCCCCUGGAAGGUACAGAUCUCUAAAUGGAUGAGGCCCAGAGAAGUUGGUUAGGAAGAGAGUCUGAGGUUGUGGCAGCAAGUGAGUUCAGCUUCUGACCCCACCAUUCAACCAGCUAUGCAACUUUGGCCUAUUGUCCAUUUCAUCUGCCUGAGCUUCAGUUUCCAGGUGCAUAAAAAUGCAAAUCUUCGUCCAGCCUCAUAACCUAUGUAAAACGCCUGGCAUACAGGACGGGUCAGUAAGAGUUUCCUUUCCUGCCCCUUUCCCCUUCUCUCCUCUGUAAAGCAACUAAGUAGGCUGGGCUGGAGGUGAUCACCAGGGUCCCUUCCAGUCCUGACAUUCAAGUGAACAAGUGAGGGCAGAUCCAGGCAGCACAGACCUCCACCUCCCGCAGUUCCCUGGGGCAAGAUGCAAUCUUUGCUUUGACUGGCACAGGGCCUCCAAAGACAGGAGGCACUUUCAGCCUAGACCUGGAUGCCUCACAAGGGAGUGUACUCCUGUCUGUGAGCACAGGCUCCAGGACCACCUGGCAGGCAUGGGCUCCAAGGCAGGCUAGUAUUGGACACCAGCUCUAUCCCUGCCUACCUGGGGGACUCUGGGCAGGUUUCUCCUCUCUGAACACUUUCUCCAUCUGAAAAAUGCAAAAACCUUACAUGGCUGCAGGGAACAUCAGGUGAAAAGCCCUUCAUAUGCCCCAAAAUACCCUGUAAAUACAGCCCCAUUAUGCUGAGCAUUACUUAUUCAGUGGAGUGUCUGUGUUGGGUGGGAGGUCGAUCAGGAUGACCUAUAAAGAACCCCAUGAUCCUGUGGGUCCUAAUGGUCUAGGAUUCUUCAGGCUCAAGAUUCCAAGGCCAGAAGUCAAGCAUCUCUGACCUGCUCAGGGCCAGAAAACUGGCUGGUGAGGCAGAUGGUAAGCUGACGUAAAUGAUGACUGCCCACCAAGGGGGAAGUGUGAGCGUGUGGUAAUGCAGUGGAGCGAGCAUGUGUUGAUUAGCAAAGGAUGGCAGAGCACUCACCUUCUGGGGCGCAUUGAUGACUCCAGUGUUGUAACCAAACUGCAGGGAGCCAAGCACUGCCCCUCCCACAGCCAGCAUGAGGCGACCCGUCAGCUUCUGCAGAGAAAAAACAGAGUGUCAUAGGCAUGUCUGGGCCCAGGUUACUACAGGGCUGGGCCUGGGCUGGCAGGUUCCCAUGUUCAGGUAUCUUGGCACCAUGCCUGUCCUUCUCCCAGGCAACGUGGCCACUCCUGACCUCAGGUGCCCAAACCACCACUGCCAACUUCUAGACACUGGGCUUGCCAGACUUCCUCCUGGGGAGAGGAAGUUAGGGUCUUCCCUCUGCAGUCAGGUCUUGGCUAGAAAGGGAGAGGCGCUAGCAUUCUGUGGGGUCUCAUUCCCCUGGUAGGACCAUGCCUGGGGUCCAGAUGGCUCCAAACCUUUGACUGGGAGGCCUAGGAGCCAAGCCCUCCAUGUGAUGAACUGCAGUCAGCCAAAUUAUGUGAUAGGAGCAUCAUAGAUGGGAAAUGCCAUGGACUUGGAGCCAAAGGUGCUGAUUUCUAAUUCUAGCCCACCUGCCAACCUGUGAAUUCCAAAGGGCUAAGUUACUCCCUUCACACUUCCCUUUGUCCCCCCAUUUUCUUAUCUGCAAAAUGGGACUAGUCAUGCUGUCGGCACUGUAGAUGUGGCUCCCCUCCCCUUCGCAGGCCAGGAAACUGAGCUCUGGGAAGCAGAGAUAAGAUCCAGACCACUCAGGAGUCCAUGGCAAAGCCAGGGCUGGAACCUAGUGCCCCUCACAGGAAUGACCCCAUACCUGGAUCUUCCCAGGGUUAUGUAGACACAGAUGACAUAUCAGUGAGGAAUGUGCUUUGGAAAAGAACAUGACAGGAGGCGAGUAAGGGGGUCAAGGCCAAGGUGCUUCCAAUGGGCAAAGGGCUGGGGAGAAAAAGGACAGUGGGUUUCUAUCCCCUGGAGGCCGAGGGUAUGAAGGCAGCAGGGAGGGCCCUAUUUACACAAAGAUAGGAGAAAGGCAAGCAAGGUGUUCUGCCUUGCUAGAGGAAGGUAGAGAAAUCUUUUUCUGGCUUUUAAAAUGAGGAAGCCAAGAAACUUGACAUUAGACAGGUCUCCACCGGUUGUGGGAGAAUGGAGCCAGGGGAGGCAUGCCAAAGAAUGGACUGCCGUUUACUAUGUGCAUCGCUCCGGCUGGACACCAAGGUCGGGCGAGGGGGAGAACAUGUGGAGGGGAGAAUCCUAACUUGUCCAUGGCCUUGUUGUGGGCCUCAGUUUCCCCACAUAACCCAGGGGCAGCCCCAACUUCAAUAUCCUCACAGACAGUACUAGGCUUAGCUGUUGAUUAGAUGCGUCUGGUCUUUUCAUUCUCUAGAAGCUGCCAGGCAGUAGUUGUGAAAGCCAAGGCUCUCACAUCAGAGGCUGAGAAAGAGGAAGAAGGCUUCGGCCCUGCUCGGUGCAUAAACUCUUGGGCCUUCCUUCCCACUGGUCUACCUGACCUUUCCCUGGCUGAACUUGAGGCAUUUAUCCUAGAUGCUGGGGGUUCCCUCCUGCCUGGCUGCAUUCCCUCCAAGGCUCAGGUCAGAAGACACCCUCUACCCCACCACCAAGUCUCCCUUUUCUCAAUUGCACAGGGAGCCUUCAGACCCCAGGCCAUCGGUUCUGAGCGUGUGGCGAGCACCUGCCAAACCUUCUCUGGUAGGCUCUGGCCAAGCACGGGGCUUACAGCAGACACGCCCUUAAACAAACCUCAGGGGGCAAUGGCUGGAAUUAAAUAAGAAGAUGUACACCCAGCACUAACCAUCACAGGAGGGCUCAGCAAACAGCAGCUGCUGAAAAACCACCAGGGACCAGCCCUUCUGCCUGGUGAGGUACAUGCAUUAGCCUGGUCAUGUCCAGAAUGUGGUAUGGAUGGUACACAAGGUAUCCAUUUUUCUAAUACAGUACACACUAGGAUAAAUAUAAAACUGGCAAUGCAAACUUAUGAUUUAAUAAAAUGUGGCAUGUCUAUAUAAUGGAAUACAUAGAAGAGAAUAUAUUUCUUUAUUGAUGUGAAUACUCUCCAAAAGUUAGAUUCUAAGUUAAAAACAAGCUUCGGAGAAAUGUGUAUUGUAUGCUACCUUUUGUGUAACAAACAAAAAAAACUGGCUGGGGUUGGGGGGAUAUGUCUACUUAUUUACUUAAAAGAAUGUACAUUGUGCUUUGGGACUAGGGGGGAAGGGAGACUUCAUCCUAUACCCUUUUGCACUUCUUUGAAUUUUGAACCAUGUGAAUGUAUCACCUAUUCACAGUAAAUUUUUUACAAGCUCAGAUCAUUUCAGAUGAAGCAAUUUAAGUAAAAGCAUUAAGUGAAAAACAAUGCGGAUGAUACGUCAGUCUGGCAGAGUGGUGGCCCAUGAAUGACUGCAUUGCAGCUGUGGCUCUGUGAGAGCUAAGUACUGUUACUACAGGCCCUGAUUUAAGUCUUGCUCUGAUGCUCCAGGGGGGUCUUUGGGCCUCUGAAGUCACCCUUCGGCUCCGCUCAGUGGCCACUCAACUGUAGCCUCUGGCGGUGGGGCUGCCAAGGACAAAUCCUUCUGCUGGACUUUGCCACUGGCAGGUCAAGGUCAAACUCUGCUUUAAAAAACGUGCCUAUCCACACACUGGGUUAUAUUCACAUCCACCCAGGCAGGCUGCGGCAUUAGGAUUCACGAACACACUCAGUGGCCUGUGCUCAAGGCCCUUGCUGGAGCUGGGGCCCCAGGUGAAACAGGACCCAGUCCUGACAUCAAGGCAGAGAGAGGCUUCCAGUCCAGUGGGGAGGCAGCAGCAGACAAAGAGAAGCUAGUAUGGUCUGGGCUUCCAUAGGGGGGUCGUAUGAGGCACUGGUGGUGGUGGGGGGUUGGGAGGAGGUGACCUGGAGGGAGAGAUUUCUAAUUUUGGCUGGGGACAAUUAAAGAUGGGUUUUCAGGAGGUAACACUGGAGGUGGACCGUGAAGAACAUGCAAGGAGCCUGCCAAGUGUGGAAGCAAUGGCAAGAUUGCAUUCCAGCUAAACAGAACAGUAUGUGCAGGAGGAAGAAGAGGAGAUAGAAAUGGCCAGAUUAAGAAACAGGGUGCACUGUGUGGCUUGAUGCUAGAUAAAGGAGUAGUGGGGCCUCUACUCCUUGGCAGGCACAUCACACAUCCAGGUUCCCACCUCCUACCCACAUUGCACCUACCACCUUCCUGGCUUGGAAUCAGGAGACCCAGGUUCAAAAUGCAGUGAGCUGCUUACUGUCUACCUUGGAGCUGGAAUAGGUGGCAACCCUGUCCCUUGGACUCAAUCUCCUCACUGAUGGGAAUAAAAGUUCCUGCCCUAAAGGGUUGCUGUCAAGUUCUGUAUCAAGUGCCCAUCAUGGAGCCUGGCAGAGUUCACUCAUCAAGUGUUUAUUGAAUCAGAGAAUAGGAAGCCAUCCUCAAUCAGGCCACCUUGGCACUGUCUGAAACUCAGUAAUGAAGCCCAUCCAUUUGACAUUAUAUUUAUUUAGGUACUGAACUGGUGGAAUAGUUAGUAAUGAAUUAGAGCAGGGGUUAAAAAAAAAACCCUAUGCCUUGUGACUUUCUUAUAGAAAUCUUUUUGGGAGUGAGGGAGCAAUGUAGAGCCCAGAAUUUGGAACCCCCAGCAACCCAUCACCACCACUUCCUGGGAAUGGGCUACCUUCUAGAACAUUCCAUGCCCUCCCGCCUCCAGCUUUAGCUCCAAAUAGUUGGGCAUACCUAUUUGACCCUCUUACCCACUAGACUGGGGACUUACAGGACUUGUGCCUUAUUCAUCUCUGCAGACACAGUGCCCAGGCUAAGGUGCAGCACAGAACAAUUGUAAAACAAAUAAAACCACCACUUCUCAGUUCAGCUUUUGGGCAAAACUGGCUCUGUAUCUGUUUGCCAGAAUGUUGUUCAUCCUAAUAGAUUUCACUUCAGCCAUUCAUUAAAUCCCUGGUAAGUACUGUAACGUCAGCUAAGAGGUAGAAAAAAGGUAACAGCAUGCUCCCUCAAUCCUCAACCCUAUCAACCAGGGCUGUAGAGAAGAGACCUCUGAAGUCAGGCAGAUUCGAGUUCAAACCCUGACCGUCCCAGCAGUGCCAGAGGCAUCUGGAUUCAGCAAAUGCCCGGGCUCAGGAUCCAGCACAGAGGAGGCUCUCUCAGUCCUAGCCCUCACCGUCCCUAGCCCAAUUCUGGGGGUCCAGAGACCCACUGAGAGCUGGCCCUCUUCCAGGAAACCCUUGAUGAGGUAUCAGCUUUGGGGACCUUGCCUCCCACACUCUGGGAUGCAGGAUGGCCCUGGCCAUGUUGUGCAAUGUGCCAAGCACCAUGGCCUUUUGACCUGCACCCAUGUGCCCUCCUUGGUACAGCACCCUAGGCCUGGGCUUGGCUUGCAGGAAGCCCUUGGUCAGUAUCGGCAGAGGGAGGGCAUGACCCUACACGUCAUUCAGAAACAGGGCAUUCUCUGCAGGAAGAGGGUCCAGGAGCUGGCAUAAUCCAGACCACCCUUCAUCUCUUCUUCCUCCCAUAGCUUUCUACCUAGUUUCCCACGGUGCACUGGAGCAUGGGAUAUGGGGCUUUGUAAUUGCUUGGUCUAGUUCUAAAGGGGCUGUGGGUGGGGGUGAAAUAUGGGCUUACUUGAACCAGGAUGGUUCCUUUAUUUUGAGUUUCUUUUGUGUAAGAUUUCAUUUGAAUGAAUGUCUGGGCAUUUAAAAAAAAAAAAAAAAAACAAA
Long non-coding RNA from Loxodonta africana (African savanna elephant), 14910 nucleotides. RefSeq lists it as uncharacterized. The record is from RefSeq and is a predicted model, not a curated record. NCBI's taxonomy places the organism in Eukaryota, Metazoa, Chordata, Mammalia, Proboscidea, Elephantidae. The transcript has 3 exons.